GCUAAAGUUCGCUGUUCUUGAACACUGAAUUAAGUUUGUUUGGUUGUCGUUAAAAAUCUGCGGCUCAUCGCCGACUGAUAUAAAAGAAGUAAUAUCGGCCGAUUAAUCGGAACAUCUUCUGUGUACUUCACGCAUUCAGCGUUAUUAUCAUCACAUUUCCUGUUGCUCCAGAGUGAUCAGUCACGUGACAUUUAGACUCGGGUGAUUUCUAAUCAAUCAGGCGAUUCGUACUGAAAUGGUCCUGUGCAUAUGUUUCCCUCCCAUUGGCUCUGGGUUCGACCCUGCUACCGGCACAACACACACCAUUCUGAAUAAAAGGACGCUUUCACCCCGUCUGUUCCACCCUGUCUGCACACACACGGCUGAGGAGAGAUCAGCACAGAGAGAGCCAGAGAUGCAUGCACAGGAUCAUCUUUGCCUCAAGUUUCCUCCACAAGAGAGAUGGUCCUCCUGAUGUGGCUUGGGCUUGGGAUCAAGGAUCCAUCCUCGACGGAUUUCAAACAAUCUUUCAUCAUUUAGCUGCAUCACUCGCCAGACUAAACCUACAAUAAAGAUUAGAUCCUUGCCCUACUUGGAGGACUGAUUCAAUUCCCACUCGGGAUAAUGCAGGAAACUUCCACACUCAAGUUCUGUUUCGGGUUUAAGGAACUCUUCAUCAAACCCAGGAAUUAAUGCUAAUGGCUGUAGAUGACUUUGUUGCUUACAGUUGGCACAAAGAGUCGACAGUCUCCUACGAGUUCUAGGAGUCCAGAAUCCACUAGAUACACAAGUUGAGCGGUGUAUGUACACUCUCUGGCUUCUUCGUCUUAUCUUCCUCCAGUGUUCAACCUUCGGUCAAAGUAGCUCUUUGGUAAUUUGAGGACUCAAGAUGUGUUGCAAGCAAAGAAACCAAGAAUUAAGCUGCACCAGAAUUCGAACUCCAUUGAGAAAGAAACCCAUUCAAAUUCUGACAUCGAACACGUGGUUUGUUGUGGUUGGUUGUUAUUCUGGGGUUUCUUCAUUCAUUUUUGGACCUACAUUACAUCUUUACCACAGCUACAGUUUUCUUGUGGGGGCCUUGGUGCAUCACAAUUGGAGGUAGUUUAUGAAUCCGAUCUUCAGACGUGCAAUCUUUCAUUUACAAAUAGAGACCUGUAAGCAUUAAACCUCACUACACCAAUCCACAA
Carassius auratus (goldfish) is the source of this 1166-nucleotide long non-coding RNA. RefSeq lists it as uncharacterized. The record is from RefSeq and is a predicted model, not a curated record. The transcript is spliced from 5 exons. NCBI's taxonomy places the organism in Eukaryota, Metazoa, Chordata, Actinopteri, Cypriniformes, Cyprinidae.